Molecule: ribosomal RNA, 801 nt
Filed under: Microbacterium natoriense
Lineage: Bacteria; Bacillati; Actinomycetota; Actinomycetes; Micrococcales; Microbacteriaceae
Description: bacterial SSU rRNA
Rfam family: Bacterial small subunit ribosomal RNA
Source: RNAcentral
AUGGCCAGUUGUUGGAAAGAUUUUUUGGUUGGGGAUGGGCUCGCGGCCUAUCAGCUUGUUGGUGAGGUAAUGGCUCACCAAGGCGUCGACGGGUAGCCGGCCUGAGAGGGUGACCGGCCACACUGGGACUGAGACACGGCCCAGACUCCUACGGGAGGCAGCAGUGGGGAAUAUUGCACAAUGGGCGGAAGCCUGAUGCAGCAACGCCGCGUGAGGGAUGACGGCCUUCGGGUUGUAAACCUCUUUUAGCAGGGAAGAAGCGAAAGUGACGGUACCUGCAGAAAAAGCGCCGGCUAACUACGUGCCAGCAGCCGCGGUAAUACGUAGGGCGCAAGCGUUAUCCGGAAUUAUUGGGCGUAAAGAGCUCGUAGGCGGUUUGUCGCGUCUGCUGUGAAAUCCCGGGGCUCAACCCCCAGCCUGCAGUGGGUACGGGCAGACUAGAGUGCGGUAGGGGAGAUUGGAAUUCCUGGUGUAGCGGUGGAAUGCGCAGAUAUCAGGAGGAACACCGAUGGCGAAGGCAGAUCUCUGGGCCGUAACUGACGCUGAGGAGCGAAAGGGUGGGGAGCAAACAGGCUUAGAUACCCUGGUAGUCCACCCCGUAAACGUUGGGAACUAGUUGUGGGGUCCAUUCCACGGAUUCCGUGACGCAGCUAACGCAUUAAGUUCCCCGCCUGGGGAGUACGGCCGCAAGGCUAAACUCAAAUGAAUUGACGGGACCCGCACAGCGGCCGGAGCAUGCGGAUUAAUUCGAUGCACGCGAAGACCUUACCAUGCUUGACUAUACGAGAACUGGCCAGAAAU